CCUACGGGAGGCAGCAGUCGAGAAUCAUUCACAAUGGGGGAAACCCUGAUGGUGCGACGCCGCGUGGGGGAAUGAAGGUCUUCGGAUUGUAAACCCCUGUCAUGUGGGAGCAAAUUAAAAAGAUAGUACCACAAGAGGAAGAGACGGCUAACUCAGUGCCAGCAGCCGCAGUAAAACAGAGGUCUCAAGCGUUGUUCGGAAUCACUGGGCGUAAAGCGUGCGUAGGCUGUUUCGUAAGUCGUGUGUGAAAGGCGCGGGCUCAACCCGCGGACGGGACAUGAUACUGCGAGACUAGAGUAAAUGAGGGGGAACCGGAAAUUUCGGUGGAGCAGUUGAAUGGGGAGAU
Molecule: ribosomal RNA, 346 nt
Filed under: uncultured bacterium
Lineage: Bacteria
Description: partial 16S ribosomal RNA
Rfam family: Bacterial small subunit ribosomal RNA
Source: RNAcentral